RNAcentral lists this ribosomal RNA (468 nucleotides) under uncultured bacterium. RNAcentral describes it as "partial 16S ribosomal RNA". It matches the Rfam family "Bacterial small subunit ribosomal RNA", at positions 28 to 507 of the family's 1533-position model. The record is from RNAcentral.
GACGAACGCUGGCGGCGUGCUUAACACAUGCAAGUCGAACGGAAAGGCCCUGCUUUUGUGGGGUGCUCGAGUGGCGAACGGGUGAGUAACACGUGAGUAACCUGCCCUUGACUUUGGGAUAACUUCAGGAAACUGGGGCUAAUACCGGAUAGGAGCUCCUGCUGCAUGGUGGGGGUGGGAAAGUUUCGGCGGUUGGGGAUGGACGCGCGGCUUAUCAGCUUGUUGGUGGGGUAGUGGCUUACCAAGGCUUUGACGGGUAGCCGGCCUGAGAGGGUGACCGGCCACAUUGGGACUGAGAUACGGCCCAGACUCCUACGGGAGGCAGCGGUGGGGAAUAUUGCACAAUGGGCGGAAGCCUGAUGCAGCAACGCCGCGUGCGGGAUGACGGCCUUCGGGUUGUAAACCGCUUUCGCCUGUGACGAAGCGUGAGUGACGGUAAUGGGUAAAGAAGCACCGGCUAACUACGUG